GUUGUAUAGUUAAGUGACUAAGCGUACAAGGUGGAUGCCUUGGCAAUCAGAGGCGAAGAAGGACGUGCUAAUCUGCGAAAAGCUUGGAUGAGUCGAUAAGAGGCGUUUAAUCCAAGAUAUCCGAAUGGGGAAACCCAGUAGAUGAAGAAUCUACUAUCAACAAGUGAAUUCAUAGCUUGUUGAGGCAAACCGGGAGAACUGAAACAUCUAAGUACCCCGAGGAAAAGAAAUCAACCGAGAUUUCGUCAGUAGCGGCGAGCGAAAGCGAAAGAGCCAGUAAGUGAUAGCAGUAUAGUUAGGAGAAUGUGUUGGGAAGCACAAUCAAAGAGGGUGAUAAUCCCGUAUCUAAAAACCAUAUUGUGGUACUAAGCUAACGAGAAGUAGGGCGGGACACGUGAUAUCCUGUUUGAAGAAGGGGGGACCAUCCUCCAAGGCUAAAUACUC
RNAcentral lists this ribosomal RNA (444 nucleotides) under Haemophilus influenzae. Its description in RNAcentral is "bacterial LSU rRNA". It matches the Rfam family "Bacterial large subunit ribosomal RNA", at positions 1 to 475 of the family's 2925-position model. The record is from RNAcentral. Lineage: Bacteria; Pseudomonadati; Pseudomonadota; Gammaproteobacteria; Pasteurellales; Pasteurellaceae.